AUACAUGCAAGUCGAACGCUGAAGCACUCUGCUUGCAGAGUGUGGAUGAGUGGCGAACGGGUGAGUAACACGUGGGGAACCUGCCCAUAAGAGGGGGAUAACAUCCGGAAACGGGUGCUAAUACCGCAUAGGUGAUCAUAGCGCAUGCUUAGAUCAUUAAAGAUGGCUUCGGCUAUCGCUUAUGGAUGGCCCCGCGGCGUAUUAGCUAGUUGGUGAGGUAAUGGCUCACCAAGGCUGUGAUACGUAGCCGACCUGAGAGGGUGAUCGGCCACACUGGAACUGAGACACGGUCCAGACUCCUACGGGAGGCAGCAGUAGGGAAUCUUCCACAAUGGGCGAAAGCCUGAUGGAGCAAUACCGCGUGAGUGAAGAAGGUCUUCGGAUCGUAAAGCUCUGUUGUUAGAGAAGAACAAGAGGUGUAGUAACUGGCACCUCCUUGACGGUAUCUAACCAGAAAGUCACGGCUAACUACGUGCCAGCAGCCGCGGUAAUACGUAGGUGACAAGCGUUGUCCGGAUUUAUUGGGCGUAAAGCGAGCGCAGGCGGUCUUUUAAGUCUGAUGUGAAAGCCCACGGCUCAACCGUGGAGGGUCAUUGGAAACUGGAAGACUUGAAUGCAGAAGAGGAAAGUGGAAUUCCAUGUGUAGCGGUGAAAUGCGUAGAUAUAUGGAGGAACACCAGUGGCGAAGGCGACUUUCUGGUCUGUAAUUGACGCUGAGGCUCGAAAGCGUGGGGAGCGAACAGGAUUAGAUACCCUGGUAGUCCACGCCGUAAACGAUGAGUGCUAAGUGUUGGAGGGUUUCCGCCCUUCAGUGCUGGAGCUAACGCAUUAAGCACUCCGCCUGGGGAGUACGGCCGCAAGGCUGAAACUCAAAGGAAUUGACGGGGACCC
RNAcentral lists this ribosomal RNA (891 nucleotides) under Alkalibacterium pelagium. Its description in RNAcentral is "bacterial SSU rRNA". It matches the Rfam family "Bacterial small subunit ribosomal RNA", at positions 51 to 922 of the family's 1533-position model. Lineage: Bacteria; Bacillati; Bacillota; Bacilli; Lactobacillales; Carnobacteriaceae. The record is from RNAcentral.